This 310-nucleotide ribosomal RNA is filed under the name uncultured bacterium. RNAcentral's name for it is "bacterial SSU rRNA". It matches the Rfam family "Bacterial small subunit ribosomal RNA", at positions 28 to 339 of the family's 1533-position model. The record is from RNAcentral.
GACGAACGCUGGCGGCGUGCUUAACACAUGCAAGUCGAGCGGUAAGGCCCUUUCGGGGGUACACGAGCGGCGAACGGGUGAGUAACACGUGGGUGACCUGCCCUUAGCUCUGGGAUAAGCCUGGGAAACUGGGUCUAAUACCGGAUAUGACUCCAUGACGCAUGUUGGUGGGGUGGAAAGCCUUGUGCGGCUAGGGAGUGGGCCCGCGGCCUAUCAGCUUGUUGGUGGGGUGAUGGCCUACCAAGGCGACGACGGUAGCCGGCCUGAGAGGCGACCGGCCACACUGGGACUGAGACACGGCCCAGACUCC